CCUGCGUUGGUUGAACAUGGCUAGAAUUAGGCGCCAAAAACGUCUCACCUGAAAUUGUGGCGUGGGCCGAACCAAGAGCGUUGGAAACAGCAAGUUGCGCCACAGCCGUCGGAGGAGUCGCAACGUGCUCUGAGAUGCGGACAAUAGGCGAUUCCGUAACUGAGGCAGCAGGUCCAGAAGGAGAACUCGAUGGGACUGCGUGGACACCAGGCACUGGAGUUGCUACAGUUUGCAGGCGUCGAGUCACUUCUGCGGUUACGGAGCUGACGAUCUCUUGGAGCUGUUGGGGCGUGAUAGCCGAGGCUGGAGCAAGAGGAGCAGCUGUUGCUGGCCGAGGAGAACUGGACGAAGGAACCGUCGUGGUUGUUCCUGGGGCACAGGGCGCUCGAGCGCGAUGGGAACGGCGUGCUGGUGGUACGGCUACCGAUACUGGUCGCUGAGCACGUUGAUUUCGAGUGGCAGGCAUGGUAAAAUUCCUGAAAAA
Paramuricea clavata is the source of this 484-nucleotide non-coding RNA. The record is from the annotation of a GenBank genome assembly. Lineage: Eukaryota; Metazoa; Cnidaria; Anthozoa; Malacalcyonacea; Plexauridae.